RNAcentral lists this ribosomal RNA (410 nucleotides) under Kosakonia cowanii. Its description in RNAcentral is "bacterial SSU rRNA". It matches the Rfam family "Bacterial small subunit ribosomal RNA", at positions 50 to 456 of the family's 1533-position model. Lineage: Bacteria; Pseudomonadati; Pseudomonadota; Gammaproteobacteria; Enterobacterales; Enterobacteriaceae. The record is from RNAcentral.
UACACAUGCAAGUCGAACGGUAACAGGAAGCAGCUUGCUGCUUCGCUGACGAGUGGCGGACGGGUGAGUAAUGUCUGGGAAACUGCCUGAUGGAGGGGGAUAACUACUGGAAACGGUAGCUAAUACCGCAUAACGUCGCAAGACCAAAGAGGGGGACCUUCGGGCCUCUUGCCAUCGGAUGUGCCCAGAUGGGAUUAGCUAGUAGGUGGGGUAACGGCUCACCUAGGCGACGAUCCCUAGCUGGUCUGAGAGGAUGACCAGCCACACUGGAACUGAGACACGGUCCAGACUCCUACGGGAGGCAGCAGUGGGGAAUAUUGCACAAUGGGCGCAAGCCUGAUGCAGCCAUGCCGCGUGUAUGAAGAAGGCCUUCGGGUUGUAAAGUACUUUCAGCGGGGAGGAAGGCGACA